AGGUAGGCAUCCAGGCAGGUCUUGAACAUCUCCAGAGAAGGAGACUCCACCACCUCCCUGGGCAGCAUUGUGAUGCUUGAUGACUUUUGUGCAGAUCUCAUCACCAUUUCCUGUUAUUUUGCAAAGACAUCUUAUAGCUAAGACAGCACAUCUACGAAUGUAUUAGACAGAUGAAGACUAUUUGACUCUCCAGUUUCAACCCAGUUUGACAAGUGGAUGAGGCUGUCAGAGCUGCUGGGCCUGAAGAUGUUCUUCUAACUGAGAAGUGCUAUAAGAGUCUCUUCUAGACGAGAUGUCAGACUAGAAUGGACAGGUGCCGAACCAGAGCAGCAAAAGCAGACUGUGAAACUCAGUGAUGCUACUGCCAUCUCCAGCUGUCCUCCUCUCAUGCUCCCCCACAGGCAGCUUGCUUGGAUAGUGGACUCUAGGGAACACAUGUACUGCUGCCGGCGUCUCUCCACACCCACUCUGUGUGAUGACUACAGAAUCAUUUUAAUCAAGAAUGAAGACUACAUAAUUCAAGCAACAGGGUCAAAAGUCUGAUGUCUACAGGGAAAGUGCAUUGGUUUAACUUCAGUCAGAUUUUAAAUCUUGGUUUUAAGGCUUGGCUAAAUAAUUAGGUCAAACCACUGCAACAUUCCCACGUAACUAAGGCCUUAAAAAAGAAUUUUAAAGAUAUAUAUCUCAGUUAAAUACUUUAGCUACAGUCUGAAACGUAUUGAAGUCAAUGAGACAGGAAAGCAAGCUGCCAACAAGAUACACUCUGAAGUGUCUUUCUGAAUCAGUGGCUUCAUUCUGCUCUAAGGAACACACCUCCAUUUCAGCAAAAGUCAUCAUAGGAUCAUGCAACAGCCUAGCUUAAGACAGACCAAAACCACAGAGAUGUCUGCAUAAAUAUUCGGAUAACUGCCAUAUGCCGUGUGAUCGUGGCUGCUCCACUAUCCCGAAGCAUUCUAACUAGUACAAUGCCAUGAGCUGUUAUCAAGUUUUCCAGCAGGAUAGAUGGGCGUGUAAGACAAUGCCAGCUGUUCCUGCAUGUUUAAACACUGUAUGAUCUCCAUGUGCUUUGCUGGGUCUGUUGUUGCUUGCCUGGACUGAGGGAGCUAUCUCCAAGCCUUAAUUCCCUCACCUGCAAACAGUCUUCUUGUAACUGGGAACUCAUGAUGUGAAUGAAGUCAGCAACAGCAUUUCGUAUGCAGCUUUUCCUGAGCAGAUUAUACUGACUGUGAAGAAAUCAAACUCUUCUAUCUUGCAUAAAAUUAUUGAUUGAUGCAUUUUCUUAGAUCUCUGCCAGUCCACGAAGCCUACGAGAGGACAGUGCUACAAAGGCUGCAGGAGAGUGCUGCAGGAAGCUGGAGGGAACAGAUUCUCAGCUAUACAUUCCAUUACAAAGAGACCGUGAUGAAACACGAGAGGACUGCAGACUGUUCCAGCUGAGAAUAAAGAAAUAAAAAACAGUGCCAUCUUGUGGCCUACAGUAUUCUGAGCAUUGCCAAGAGGAAAGAGGAAAAUCUUUUACACUAAGAAAAAAAUACAGAUAACUUCUGGUCAAACAAGAAAACCAUAACAGAAGAACAUUAAUGGCAAGACAAAGGACCUGAACAAUACCACACUUUGGCCAGAGUACAGAAAUCAAAGCUCUACAAAAUGUACUGGGAGCAACAGGCAGGUUGAUAUCCUUUCCAUGAGCAAUAGGUGGCUUAGAUGAGAAACGGUAUUGCACACGUAUGAUUAGAUUGCCAAACAAGAUGACAGAAUGUUUUCUUCGGCAUUACAUGGCUAAAAUGACUUUAUCAUUUUGUACUAUACUGCCUUAAGCAAUAACCUGAGCAUGAGAUCUGUGCAGAUAUAUCUAGGCUUAAAGUCUGGAAAUCCUAGCUGAAUCAAAAAGUCUUCACGACUAUUUAUCUCCAGAGUUUAUGUUCUGUAUCGUUUUACUAGUGAUUCCUCUUUCCCAGCUGUGUGUCUUCUGCCUUAUCCAGACAGAACUAGAUCUAGUUACCCCUUUCUGGAAACCUCUGUAAUGUAUUCUUUGUGAUAUCCAAAUUAUAUCAUUGGUGACAUUAAUGGCAAAUGGGACCCAUUAGAAGGCGUCACAAGUGAGUUGUCAGAUGUUGAGGCCAUGACUUCUCCCUAUCUCUCCAGAUGACAGUGAGUAAAUAUUUUGAGGUAAGGGAUUUAGAUAGAAGUCUUUGAUCUUCUUGUGUGCGCUGCAGAAGCUUCUGAACUCAAACAGAGAUGGGCAGACAUCAAUCAUGCUAACAGACAGCUGUCACAAGAAGCAAUGCCACUUAUAAUUGGAAGUACAAUCCUUCUUCGAGUGCUGAAAUCUGGCUAAGAAGAUGAAAAUGUUCUUCCUGUCUUCUGCUGAGCUUCAAGGGAAAGGGAAGAGGGAAUUCAACUUGCUGGCAUCAUCCCCAGGCAAUUUUAUUGACUGUGUGGCUGUCAAAGGGGACUGACCGAAAGAUCAGAGAUGACCUGAUUGACCGGAUGGAAGAAUGAUCUUAGGAACUGGACUUCGGAUCUGAGCUCUCUCUUCUACAUCUGACAGAAGAAGCCAAAAAUCUUUCUACUGUCACCUCUCAGCUGUAGCUCACAGUAGGCAGUACAAUUCAGUACCAUAGGUCUCUGGGCAUAAUGCCCCUUGGUGGAACUGGCCGUUCCAUACCUGGCACUGCCCUGAUCUCCCUAGAUCUCAAGUCAAAGUCAGAAGCACGGAGAGUUCCCUGAUGCUCCAAGUGCAAAUAUCUACUGACGUUCUAGAAACUGUGUGUUUUAACCUGCUUGAUAUCAUAGCAAUGAAUUGUUCAUAAAAAAUACUGCUUUCUGCUAGCAUUAGACCUAGGAUUAAAGUUGAAUUAAUUCCUUUUUUGAACUCAGUAUGAACUUCAGACCCAAGAUGAAAUAUCUUAUUGUGUCUGUAUGAAGAUAUGAGGAAUGCAAAGAAGCUCAAGGCAAGUGAAGUAAAUUUUGAGCUAUUGAGGUAAAUAGAAAAGCUGCUGUAACUACACUAGAGUCAGAAUUCCCUAGCAUGUGACGAAGUGGCAUGUUUUAAUAUUUGUGCUAAACAAUGACAACCAACAUAUCAGGUCAUCUUUAUGAGAAAGCAGCGUGGCUGAGAAGGCCAUUAAAAUGAAAUCAAGGCUUGAAAUAAUCACUGAAUAACUUUCUAUUGGAAGAUGAAAGUACUAUCACAACUAAGAAAAAAAUACUAACAAUUAGUAAUUUUACAAAGUGUCACAUUACUCAGAAUUUAUUAACUCAGAGCAAUUAAGACAACAAAUCUGUCACUGCCUCAUGCAUUUGUGGUGGAGUUCCUUAUAAGAAGUCUCUUCUUUUUUAAAUCGAUGAACUUUGUUCAGUGAUUCCUGGCACUAGGUGCAUCAUUACAAAUAUUUCUAAAAUGAGGAAGAUCCUUGUCUAGAUGAGAGCUGAAAGCAAAUAGCUGAAACAAGAAAGCAGUUGCAACAUCUCAAUACAGCAUUCUUAUUAUGGCAAUUUAUAUUAAAAUGUCACUUAGAGAACCACAAAGGCCUCCUCAUAUUCCCAAACUGUACCCUGUACCUGUCUGUCUGCCUUGCCUUCAUCUGCAUCAAAUAAUGAGUGAUGUUUCACUUGAAAAUCUUUAGAGCAAUGAAUCAAAACACCUGUAAUAGAAAACAGAAAUAAAGUAUUUCCCACAAGUUAUGAGAAGUUUUUGCAAGGGAGAAAUUGGCUAAGGAGUCUUUUUCUAGCUUUAACUGCUAGAAUGAUUUUGGAAAGUAGGACUGUGUGCUGAGUGGUAGGUACAUAUUUUUGCCUACCAUAGGCAAAUUGAAGAGAUACAGUAUUUAUCAUUUUAUUGACACGUUGACAAAUAACAAAGUCUACAGGGUUUUCUUUCUCCUGAAGACUUUAUACUACAGCCCAAUCAUUUAUGUGUGCCAAUAUACUUUACAACUCUACUGUGAAGUUGGCUGUGAAAAGAGUAUCAAAGUAUUGGGGUUAGUGCAAAGCGGUGAUUUAAAACAAGAGAGAGAGAAUGGAGCUUUCAAAUCUUCUUCAGAUUAUAUCCAUUAAAUCUGAUUGCAAAGAAGAGGUUCAAAGAAAACAAUUUUAAUCAGACUACUGGGGCUGAGAACACCUUUCUUAAAAAAAAAAAGAAUACAUGGAGUCUUAAUUUUCUUCAAAGGAAGGGUCAAUUAAAAUAAAUACUUUUAAUUCUUUACAGCAACCUUUUUCUGUUGGAUUAACUUCAAUUAAUCCUUCAUCUUCUAAGUUGCAUUGGCACAAAAAUCUAAUGUCUUUAUUUUCAGAGGAACAUUGCAAAACUCUAUCAUGUGUCCUUGUGCAAAGAACUUGAAGGAUCUCAUACACACAGAGUGAGAGCACCAAAACCAACUUUCAUGAAUUACAUAGUUUUUUUUUUACAAGUAUGGUCACUCCUCAGAAUUUUCCAGAGUUACUUUCUUUGUGAUUCUCUCUGAGCCUGGCUCUAUCAGUCCAAUAACCAGUUUACUCAUAGCAGUGAACAAAACACAUAAUCCACUGCUUCUUUGGAAAAUGAACUCUGGAUGUACAUCACUACUGAACCUCUGUUACGUAUAAAGCAGGCUGUGUAAACAAAAUCCCAGCGAUUACAUUUCACCCACCACCUUUCUUAAAAUAAAGAGUACAAUUUUGAACAGUCGGUUCAGAGAGAAACAACAGGGUGAGGAGAGCUAUCUUCCUUCUUCUUCAAUGGGAAUGUUUGCUUCAGUUCAGACUCAGCAGGCCGAAAGACAA
This is a long non-coding RNA of Centrocercus urophasianus (Greater sage-grouse), 4764 nucleotides long. RefSeq lists it as uncharacterized. The record is from RefSeq and is a predicted model, not a curated record. The transcript has 16 exons. Lineage: Eukaryota; Metazoa; Chordata; Aves; Galliformes; Phasianidae.